This 925-nucleotide ribosomal RNA is filed under the name Chryseobacterium aquaticum. RNAcentral's name for it is "bacterial SSU rRNA". It matches the Rfam family "Bacterial small subunit ribosomal RNA", at positions 376 to 1307 of the family's 1533-position model. Lineage: Bacteria; Pseudomonadati; Bacteroidota; Flavobacteriia; Flavobacteriales; Weeksellaceae. The record is from RNAcentral.
UGAGAGCCUGAUCCAGCCAUCCCGCGUGAAGGACGACUGCCCUAUGGGUUGUAAACUUCUUUUAUACUGGGAUAAACCUACCCUCGUGAGGGUAGCUGAAGGUACAGUAUGAAUAAGCACCGGCUAACUCCGUGCCAGCAGCCGCGGUAAUACGGAGGGUGCAAGCGUUAUCCGGAUUUAUUGGGUUUAAAGGGUCCGUAGGCGGACUCGUAAGUCAGUGGUGAAAUCUCAUAGCUUAACUAUGAAACUGCCAUUGAUACUGCGGGUCUUGAGUAAAGUAGAAGUGGCUGGAAUAAGUAGUGUAGCGGUGAAAUGCAUAGAUAUUACUUAGAACACCAAUUGCGAAGGCAGGUCACUAUGUUUUAACUGACGCUGAUGGACGAAAGCGUGGGGAGCGAACAGGAUUAGAUACCCUGGUAGUCCACGCCGUAAACGAUGCUAACUCGUUUUUGGGUUUUCGGAUUCAGAGACUAAGCGAAAGUGAUAAGUUAGCCACCUGGGGAGUACGUUCGCAAGAAUGAAACUCAAAGGAAUUGACGGGGGCCCGCACAAGCGGUGGAUUAUGUGGUUUAAUUCGAUGAUACGCGAGGAACCUUACCAAGGCUUAAAUGGGAAUUGACAGGUUUAGAAAUAGAUCCUUCUUCGGACAAUUUUCAAGGUGCUGCAUGGUUGUCGUCAGCUCGUGCCGUGAGGUGUUAGGUUAAGUCCUGCAACGAGCGCAACCCCUGUCACUAGUUGCCAUCAUUCAGUUGGGGACUCUAGUGAGACUGCCUACGCAAGUAGAGAGGAAGGUGGGGAUGACGUCAAAUCAUCACGGCCCUUACGCCUUGGGCCACACACGUAAUACAAUGGCCGGUACAGAGGGCAGCUACUAUGCGAAUAGAUGCGAAUCUCGAAAGCCGGUCUCAGUUCGGAUUGGAGUCUG